Molecule: ribosomal RNA, 439 nt
Filed under: uncultured bacterium
Lineage: Bacteria
Description: partial 16S ribosomal RNA
Rfam family: Bacterial small subunit ribosomal RNA
Source: RNAcentral
CCUACGGGAGGCAGCAGUGGGGAAUAUUGCACAAUGGGGGAAACCCUGAUGCAGCGACGCCGCGUGAGUGAAGAAGUAAUUCGUUAUGUAAAGCUCUAUCAGCAGGGAAGAAAAUGACGGUACCUGAGUAAGAAGCCCCGGCUAACUACGUGCCAGCAGCCGCGGUAAUACGUAGGGGGCAAGCGUUAUCCGGAUUUACUGGGUGUAAAGGGAGCGUAGACGGCAGUGCAAGUCUGGAGUGAAAGGCGGGGGCUCAACCCCCGGACGGCUCUGGAAACUGUACGGCUGGAGUGCGGGAGAGGUAAGGGGAAUUCGUGGUGUAGCGGGGAAAGGGGUGGAUAUUGGGGGGAACACAGGGGGGGAGGGGGGCUUAUGGAACGGAAACGGAGGUGGGGGCUGAAAGGGGUGGGGGGCAAACGGGAUAGAUACCCGAGUAGUC